RNAcentral lists this ribosomal RNA (471 nucleotides) under uncultured bacterium. RNAcentral describes it as "bacterial SSU rRNA". It matches the Rfam family "Bacterial small subunit ribosomal RNA", at positions 445 to 913 of the family's 1533-position model. The record is from RNAcentral.
AAGCGCUGCGUGAAUAUCGUAGUGCCGUGACGUUACCCACAGAAUAAGCACCGGCAAACUCCGUGCCAGCAGCCGCGGUAAUACGGAGGGUGCGAGCGUUAAUCGGAAUUACUGGGCGUAAAGCGCACGUAGGCGGUUCUGUAAGUGGGAUGUGAAACCCCCGGGCUUAACCUGGGACUUGCAUACCAGACUGCAAAGCUAGAGUAUGAGAGAGGGUGGUGGAAUUUCCGGUGUAGCGGUGAAAUGCGUAGAGAUCGGAAGGAACAUCAGUGGCGAAGGCGGCCACCUGGCUUAAUACUGACGCUGAGGUGCGAAAGCGUGGGGAUCAAACAGGAUUAGAUACCCUGGUAGUCCACGCCGUAAACGAUGAGAACUAGCCGUUGGAUUCCUUAGAGGAUUAGUGGCGCAGCUAACGCGAUAAGUUCUCCGCCUGGGGAGUACGGCCGCAAGGUUAAAACUCAAAUGAAUUGA